UCGAACGGACUUACAUUGAAGCCUAGCGAUAUGUAAGUUAGUGGCGGACGGCUGUGUAACGCGUGGGUAACCUGCCUUGUACUGGGGGACAACAGUUGGAAACGACUGCUAAUACCGCAUAAGCGCACAGCUUCGCAUGAAGCAGUGUGAAAAACUCCGGUGGUACAAGAUGGACCCGCGUCUGAUUAGCUGGUUGGUGAGGUAACGGCCCACCAAGGCGACGAUCAGUAGCCGGCCUGAGAGGGUGAACGGCCACAUUGGGACUGAGACACGGCCCAAACUCCUACGGGAGGCAGCAGUGGGGAAUAUUGCACAAUGGGGGAAACCCUGAUGCAGCAACGCCGCGUGAGUGAAGAAGUAUUUCGGUAUGUAAAGCUCUAUCAGCAGGAAAGAUAGUGACGGUACCUGACUAAGAAGCUCCGGCUAAAUACGUGCCAGCAGCCGCGGUAAUACGUAUGGAGCAAGCGUUAUCCGGAUUUACUGGGUGUAAAGGGAGUGUAGGUGGCCAUGCAAGUCAGAAGUGAAAAUCCGGGGCUCAACCCCGGAACUGCUUUUGAAACUGUAAGGCUGGAGUGCAGGAGGGGUGAGUGGAAUUCCUAGUGUAGCGGUGAAAUGCGUAGAUAUUAGGAGGAACACCAGUGGCGAAGGCGGCUUACUGGACGAUAACUGACGCUGAGGCUCGAAAGCGUGGGAGCAAACAGGAUUAGAUACCCUGGUAGUCCACGCCGUANACGAUGAAUACUAGGUGUUGGAGAGCAUNGCUCUUCGGUG
RNAcentral lists this ribosomal RNA (771 nucleotides) under uncultured bacterium. RNAcentral describes it as "bacterial SSU rRNA". It matches the Rfam family "Bacterial small subunit ribosomal RNA", at positions 62 to 845 of the family's 1533-position model. The record is from RNAcentral.